RNAcentral lists this non-coding RNA (28 nucleotides) under Homo sapiens (human). Lineage: Eukaryota; Metazoa; Chordata; Mammalia; Primates; Hominidae. The record is from RNAcentral.
UGUGCAGCGGUGAUACAGGAUUAUGUAU